RNAcentral lists this ribosomal RNA (588 nucleotides) under Effusibacillus pohliae. RNAcentral's name for it is "bacterial SSU rRNA". It matches the Rfam family "Bacterial small subunit ribosomal RNA", at positions 179 to 755 of the family's 1533-position model. Lineage: Bacteria; Bacillati; Bacillota; Bacilli; Caryophanales; Alicyclobacillaceae. The record is from RNAcentral.
UUCUUGGCCGCAUGGCCGAGAAGGAAAAGACGCGUUCGCGUCGGUGUCGGAUGAGCCCGCGGCGCANNNNCUAGUUGGUGAGGUAACGGCCCACCAAGGCGACGAUGCGUAGCCGACCUGAGAGGGUGACCGGCCACACUGGGACUGAGACACGGCCCAGACUCCUACGGGAGGCAGCAGUAGGGAAUCUUCCACAAUGGGCGAAAGCCUGAUGGAGCAACGCCGCGUGAGUGAUGAAGGCCUUCGGGUUGUAAAACUCUGUCAUUCGGGACGAACCGGAGUCUGAGGAAAUGCAGACUCUCUGACGGUACCGGAGGAGGAAGCCCCGGCUAACUACGUGCCAGCAGCCGCGGUAAUACGUAGGGGGCAAGCGUUGUCCGGAUUCACUGGGCGUAAAGCGCGCGCAGGCGGUGAUGUAAGUCUGAGGUGAAAACCCGAAGCUCAACUUCGGGACUGCCUUGGAUACUGCGUCACUUGAGGAUAGGAGAGGCAAGGGGAAUUCCACGUGUAGCGGUGAAAUGCGUAGAGAUGUGGAGGAACACCUGUGGCGANNNCGCCUUGCUGGCCUAUUUCUGACGCUGAGGCGCG